Molecule: long non-coding RNA, 1002 nt
Organism: Brassica napus (rape)
Lineage: Eukaryota; Viridiplantae; Streptophyta; Magnoliopsida; Brassicales; Brassicaceae
Exons: 2
Source: RefSeq, a predicted model, not a curated record
GUUAUUGUUUAUCUUUAUGAUCUUAUCUCUCCACUUUAUAUAAUUUCCUAUAGUAUAUAUAGAUAUAUUAAACUGAAUAUGUAUUUUCAUACAUAAUUGGUUGGUACCAUAGCCAAACCAACCAAUAAAAUUUUACUUAAUUGUUUUAUCUGAAUUCAGUAUGUAAUGGAAGUACACUAGAAUUUAAUGAUAAGUUAUUUUUUUACGUUUAUUGAUUGAUCAAAGGAUCGAGGGAACUUCCAGAAUCAAUCAAAACUCGAGUGACCUCGCAGGUGCUGAUUGUGAGUUCCACCAUUAGGGGAUUGUUAUGCAUCGUAUCGAUGUCGGUGGUGUACACUUCCGAGAAUGCGGUUGGAAGCAAUCCUCUGGAUUGGUAGACUACUUUUUUUGUUUUUGUUGUUUCCUUUCCUGGUACUCCUUUACCAACCUCACUGAUUCUUUGCACAUGAUCCUCCAAAAAUCAAAUUUAUACGGUCGCUUGUGCCGAGAUGAGUAAGAGAAUUGUUCUGAUCAUUCAUGCCUAGUUUUUGGCGAAUAUCAGAAUUGUCGGGUUGGCUGACUGAUGCGUCCCAGUUGUUCGUGUUGAGUUUUAUGCGAACCUCGGUAGUGUUAGCCAUGCUGCUAUGUCUUUGCCAAUUUUCUUUUGAGUUUAUCAUGCAGAUUUUGGGUUUAUGAACUCUCUUCUGAUGACGAGGAUGAUGAUUACAUUGAUACGCCGAGUGAUCUGUGAUCUUUAUUCGUCCAAAGCCCGGUCAUCACGCUGCUGAGGUGGAGCGGAUACUUCUUGAUCUUUGGGUUGAUCCACUUGGGACGGCCUUGAGACUUAUGGCAAUUUUUAUUUCUGCUUUUGUUCAAGCUUUUCGUAUUUUUGACAAGCUUUUGUUACGGUUGGGGAUUAAUAUUUCUUUGUUGAACACCGUCAUGAGUGUGUCAUGGAGUAACCUUGAUUGUUUGGUAUCAUGUAUUUUUUCCUUAUGAAAAUUGUAGAACUUAGUUUUAUCA